Molecule: ribosomal RNA, 468 nt
Filed under: uncultured bacterium
Lineage: Bacteria
Description: partial 16S ribosomal RNA
Rfam family: Bacterial small subunit ribosomal RNA
Source: RNAcentral
GACGAACGCUGGCGGUGUGCUUAACACAUGCAAGUCGAACGGUAAGGCCCUUUCGGGGGUACACGAGUGGCGAACGGGUGAGUAACACGUGAGUAACCUGCCCUCAUCUCUGGGAUAACAGUCGGAAACGGUUGCUAAUACUGGAUAUGAGCUUGCAAGGCAUCUUGUGGGUUGGAAAGAUUUUUUUUGGUUGGGGAUGGACUCGCGGCCUAUCAGCUUGUUGGUGAGGUAGUAGCUCACCAAGGCUUCGACGGGUAGCCGGCCUGAGAGGGCGACCGGCCACAUUGGGACUGAGAUACGGCCCAAACUCCUACGGGAGGCAGCAGUGGGGAAUAUUGCACAAUGGACGGAAGUCUGAUGCAGCAACGCCGCGUGCGGGAUGACGGCCUUCGGGUUGUAAACCGCUUUCAAUUGUGACGAAGCUUUUUUGUGACGGUAGCAGUAGAAGAAGCACCGGCUAACUACGUG